This 1422-nucleotide ribosomal RNA is filed under the name Klebsiella variicola. Its description in RNAcentral is "bacterial SSU rRNA". It matches the Rfam family "Bacterial small subunit ribosomal RNA", at positions 49 to 1424 of the family's 1533-position model. The record is from RNAcentral. Lineage: Bacteria; Pseudomonadati; Pseudomonadota; Gammaproteobacteria; Enterobacterales; Enterobacteriaceae.
CUACCAUGCAGUCGAGCGGUAGCACAGAGAGCUUGCUCUCGGGUGACGAGCGGCGGACGGGUGAGUAAUGUCUGGGAAACUGCCUGAUGGAGGGGGAUAACUACUGGAAACGGUAGCUAAUACCGCAUAAUGUCGCAAGACCAAAGUGGGGGACCUUCGGGCCUCAUGCCAUCAGAUGUGCCCAGAUGGGAUUAGCUAGUAGGUGGGGUAACGGCUCACCUAGGCGACGAUCCCUAGCUGGUCUGAGAGGAUGACCAGCCACACUGGAACUGAGACACGGUCCAGACUCCUACGGGAGGCAGCAGUGGGGAAUAUUGCACAAUGGGCGCAAGCCUGAUGCAGCCAUGCCGCGUGUGUGAAGAAGGCCUUCGGGUUGUAAAGCACUUUCAGCGGGGAGGAAGGCGGUGAGGUUAAUAACCUCAUCGAUUGACGUUACCCGCAGAAGAAGCACCGGCUAACUCCGUGCCAGCAGCCGCGGUAAUACGGAGGGUGCAAGCGUUAAUCGGAAUUACUGGGCGUAAAGCGCACGCAGGCGGUCUGUCAAGUCGGAUGUGAAAUCCCCGGGCUCAACCUGGGAACUGCAUUCGAAACUGGCAGGCUAGAGUCUUGUAGAGGGGGGUAGAAUUCCAGGUGUAGCGGUGAAAUGCGUAGAGAUCUGGAGGAAUACCGGUGGCGAAGGCGGCCCCCUGGACAAAGACUGACGCUCAGGUGCGAAAGCGUGGGGAGCAAACAGGAUUAGAUACCCUGGUAGUCCACGCCGUAAACGAUGUCGAUUUGGAGGUUGUGCCCUUGAGGCGUGGCUUCCGGAGCUAACGCGUUAAAUCGACCGCCUGGGGAGUACGGCCGCAAGGUUAAAACUCAAAUGAAUUGACGGGGGCCCGCACAAGCGGUGGAGCAUGUGGUUUAAUUCGAUGCAACGCGAAGAACCUUACCUGGUCUUGACAUCCACAGAACUUUCCAGAGAUGGAUUGGUGCCUUCGGGAACUGUGAAAACAGGUGCUGCAUGGCUGUCGUCAGCUCGUGUUGUGAAAUGUUGGGGUUAAGUCCCGCAACGAGCGCAACCCUUAUCCUUUGUUGCCAGCGGUUCAGGCCGGGAACUCAAAGGAAACUGCCAGUGAUAAACUGGGAGGAAAGUGGGGGAUGACGUCAAGUCAUCAUGGGCCUUUACGACCAGGGGCUACCCACCUGGCUACAAUGGGCUUAUACAAAAGAGAAACGGACCUUCCCGGAAGACCAAGCGGAACUCCUAUAAGUUAUGUCGGGAAAUCCGGGAUUGGGAGUUUGGCACCUCCGACUCCCUGGAAAUGCGGAAUUCCUCCUGAUAUCCGUAAAACCAAAAAUGCCCCCGGUGUAAAAUACUUUCCCCGGGCCCUUGGUACCCCCCCGCCCUCCACACACCAUGGGGGAAUGGGGUUGUUCCAA